This 253-nucleotide ribosomal RNA is filed under the name uncultured bacterium. Its description in RNAcentral is "partial 16S ribosomal RNA". It matches the Rfam family "Bacterial small subunit ribosomal RNA", at positions 524 to 776 of the family's 1533-position model. The record is from RNAcentral.
UACAGGGGGGGCAAGCGUUGUUCGGAAUUACUGGGCGUAAAGGGCCCGUAGGCGGCCAACUAAGUCACACGUGAAAUCCCCAGGCUUAACCUGGGAACUGCGUGUGAUACUGGAUGGCUUGAAUUCGGGAGAGGGAUGCAGAAUUCCAGGUGUAGCGGUGAAAUGCGUAGAUAUCUGGAGGAAUACCGGUGGCGAAGGCGGCAUCCUGGACCGACAUUGACGCUGAAAGGCGAAAGCUAGGGGAGCAAACGGG